RNAcentral lists this ribosomal RNA (253 nucleotides) under uncultured bacterium. Its description in RNAcentral is "partial 16S ribosomal RNA". It matches the Rfam family "Bacterial small subunit ribosomal RNA", at positions 524 to 776 of the family's 1533-position model. The record is from RNAcentral.
UACGUAGGGUGCAAGCGUUGUCCGGAAUUAUUGGGCGUAAAGAGCUCGUAGGCGGCCUGUCGCGUCGGCUGUGAAAACUCAGGGCUCAACCCUGAGCCUGCAGUCGAUACGGGCAGGCUAGAGUCCGGCAGGGGAGACUGGAAUUCCUGGUGUAGCGGUGAAAUGCGCAGAUAUCAGGAGGAGCACCGGUGGCGAAGGCGGGUCUCUGGGCCGAUACUGACGCUGAGGAGCGAAAGCGUGGGGAGCGAACAGG